This is an RNA transcript of Diospyros lotus (date-plum), 4164 nucleotides long. RefSeq lists it as uncharacterized. The record is from RefSeq and is a predicted model, not a curated record. NCBI's taxonomy places the organism in Eukaryota, Viridiplantae, Streptophyta, Magnoliopsida, Ericales, Ebenaceae. The transcript has 11 exons.
CCUUGGCACAUUGUUUCGCAACUUUGGGUACCGGAAUGGACCCAGAAGAAGUCACAGCAGCUGCCGAGGAAGAACCCGGCCCCAGCGCCGUCGUCCAAGAUUCACUGUUCCCGGUGGUUCCCCAACCGGCAUCCAACGCCGGCGCCAGUGGCAGCAAGUCGGUCGCUCCUCCUCCUCAACAAUGGUUCUGCAACCGCAGCUUCACCGCCGACGUGUCCGCCAUCAACGAUGCCGUCUCUUCGCAACACGACCACUACUUCCCUCUCGACCUUUCAGGAUCAGAAAACGAGGGAGAACGAAAAGAUAAAACGGAGUAUGAUAAAGAUAGUAAUAGGCCUCCAUCAUACGAAUUGGUGGAGUCGUCCUCCGAUGGAGAUUCCUAUCGGAAAAGGGAUAGAGAGCAAGAGAAGAAGAAGAAGAAAAAGAAGAGAAGAAAUAUAUCUUCUUCUUCUUCUCACCGUGAAGCUGCUGCCGGUAAAGCCUGUUAUGACGCCUCCAAUCCCUCCUCGAGGAAGCCAAACGUUUCUUCUUGGGCAACGUCUGAUAACUCCAAGACCGACGCCAAAGGCUAUUACUUUGAUUCCCACGGCGAUCGCGACAAUCUCGCCUUUGGCUCCCUUUACAGAAUGGAUGUUGCUCGGUACAAGCUUUACAACUCUAUGAAGUCUGGGCUCAAUUCCGAAGCGUGGAAGAAACAGAGGAGUUUGGUUUUUGAUGGAGACAGCGAUAUUGAUGCACUGGAUGGUAAACUUAAAGCCAGUGGUCGCUACUGGUCUGCAAAGCACUCUGCACUUGAGCGCCAUAAGAAUUUCAAGAGAAUUCGAAUUAUUGCACCUAAAAAAUCAUUAGCAAGUCUUCCUGGUGAUUUCAUUCCUUUAUUGGACGAUCAACAUUCUGGUGAGCAAUUUGAUGGUGGGUCUCUUUCAAGAGCUUCAGUUAUUGAAGAAUCUUGGGAAGAUGAAGUGUUACGUAAAACAAAGGAAUUCAACAAGAUGUCGAGGGAACACCCGCACAAUGAGAAAGUUUGGUUAGCAUUUGCAGAGUUUCAGGACAAGGUGGCAAGCAUGCAGCCACAGAAGGGUGCUCGGUUGCAGACUAUUGAAAAGAAGAUCAGUAUAUUGGAGAAGGCGGCUGAGCUGAAUCCAGAUAAUGAAGAACUGUUGCUCUGCCUUUUGAAUGCUUAUCAAAGCAGAGACAGUACUGAUGUCCUUGUUGGUAGAUGGCAGAAGAUACUUGUGCAGCAUUCUGGCAGUUGCAACCUUUGGAAAUCAUUCCUGCAUGUAGCCCAAGGAGAAUUCUCUAGGUUUAAAGUUUCUGAAAUGAGAAAAAUAUAUGCCAAUGCAACCCAAGCUUUAUCUUCUGCAUGCAGCAGGAAGUAUAGGCAGGUUCACCAAACUGCUAAUGCACCUUCUUCAGAUCCUGCUCUUCUCCAACAAGAACUUGGUCUGGUUGAUAUAUUUAUCAGCCUUUGCAGGUUUGAAUGGCAGGCUGGCUACCAAGAGUUGGCUACUGCUUUGUUUCAGGCAGAGAUAGAAUAUAGUUUAUUUUGUCCUUCUUUACUGCUUACCGAGCAGAGUAAACGUAGACUGUUUGAGCACUUCUGGAACAGUAAUGGUGCAAGAGUUGGAGAAGAUGGCGCUCUUGGUUGGUCAACAUGGCUGGAAAAAGAAGAGGAACAAAGGCAAAAGGUUAUCAGUGAGGAGUCCUCAAAUGAAAAUGAAGAAGGGGGCUGGACUGGUUGGUCACUACCAUUAUCUAAAAGUAAAGAUGUCAGUGAAAAUCCAGCAAAUAAUGAGCAUGAUGAUGUUCCACUUGAGGAGUUUGAUGAGGAACUUCAAACAAGGACCAAUGAGCAGAAUGAUGAUACGGAGGCCUUGCUAAGACUGCUGGGUAUUGAUGCUGAUGCUGAUCCUAAUAUUGAGGUCAACGACACUAUAACAUGGUCUAGAUGGGCAGAAGAAGAGUUAUCAAGGGAUUCUGAUCAGUGGAUGCCUGUCCAUGCAAAAUCUGAUCGGGUCUCUCAUGGGGAUCGCACACCAGAUAGAGAUGGUGAUGAGCAACUUUCGAGGGUCAUAUUGUUCGAAGAUGUUGAUGAGUACCUAUUCUCUAUAAGCUCAGAGGAAGCUCGUUUAUCUCUAGUAUUCCAGUUCAUGGAGUUUUAUGGUGGGAGGAUAUCUAAGUGGAUUUGCACAAACAGUUCAAGUUGGGAAGAAAUGACUUUAAGCUUGGUGGCAUUGCCAGAUGAUGUAUUAGAUCAAUUGAGAAAGGUCCAUGAUGUAAUAGUGAAAUCAGAGUUUUCAAGCAAUUUUGGCUUCGAAUUUUUGGGCAGCUCAAAUAACAUCUCUAUGAGGGUGAACAUGAUGAAAUUUCUCCGUAAUGCUACCUUGCUUUGUUUAACUGCAUUUCCACAUAACUACAUUUUGGAAGAAGCUGCUCUUGUUGCUGAAGAGCUAUUGAAUACCAAAAUGAACUCUUUUAGCUGUUCAGUCACCCCAUGUCGCGCUUUAGCAAAGAGCCUUAUAAAGAGUAAUCGUCAGGACAUACUGUUAUGUGGAGUUUAUGCACAAAGAGAGGCUGCUUUUGGGAAUAUUGAUAAUGCAAGAAAGGUUUUUGACAUGGCAUUGGCAUCAUCGGAAGGACUUCCAUCAGAGUUCCGCUCAAACGCAUCUCUUUUAUAUUUGUGGUAUGCUGAAGCGGAAGUUUGUAAUGAUUCACAUAAUGGCUCAGAGUCAUCAUUCCGUGCAGUGCACAUUCUAUGUUGCUUUGGGAGUGGGUUAAAGUACAGUCCAUUUAAAAGUCAACCAUCAAGUCUGCAACAGCUGAGAGCACGCCAGGGGUUUAAAGAACAAAUAAGGAUGCUGAGAUCUUCAUGGGCACGUGGUGUGAUAGAUGAUAAUUCUAUUGCUCUCAUUUGUUCAGCUGCUUUAUUUGAAGAAUUGACCUCUGGUUGUGAUGCUGGUAUAGAAAUGCUUAAUAAGGUUUUCACCAUGGUGCUUCCUGAAAGAAGAAGCCAAAGCUAUCAACUCGAGUCUUUGUUCAACUAUUAUGUGAGAAUGCUUUGGAGACACAAUUCAGAAUUAGGACUGUCAAGAGUACUGGAGUCCAUUAUACAAGGGUUGCAAGCAUAUCCUUCCAAUCCGGAACUUUAUGCUGCUUUAGUAGAAACCAGCCACCGUCAUACAUCACCCAAUAAGCUGCGGUUGAUAUUUGAUAACUUCUGUCAAAAGAAUCCAUCGUUAAUCGUCUGGAUGUUUGCUUUGUCGUUUGAGAUGAGGAAGGGCGGUUCCCAACAUCGAAUACAUGGCCUGUUUGAAAGGGCACUGGGAAAUGAGAAGUUGCGGAAUUCAGUACUGCUGUGGCGUUGCUAUAUUGCAUAUGAGAUGGAUGUUGCAUGCGAUGCUUCUGCAGCUAGACGAAUUUUUUUCCGAGCUAUCCAUGCAUGCCCAUGGUCGAAGAAGCUGUGGCUAGAUGGUUUUGUCAAAUUGCAGGGGGUACUAACUACGAAAGAGCUGUCAGAUCUUCAGGAAGUAAUGCGUGAUAAAGAACUAAACCUGAGAACAGAUAUUUAUGAGAUUUUACUUCAAGAACAAGAUGAGAUGCAGUUGUAGUCCAAGAUGCUCUUGCUUUCUGUAAGAUGAUUGUAUAGAGCAGCAAGUCACAUCAGACGUUCUAGAUGGAGAUUGUAGCAGAAACGAGGAUGGAUGAGGCAUGAAAUGACACUUAGCAAAGUGUAUGAUGAGUUGAAUGUAUGUUAUGUAGCUCAUGUAUUUAAGUUCUGCUAUUUCGAAUUCUGAACAUUUUGAGGAAUGAUGAUGUAGAACCCUAUUUAGGGUUAUUGUUAGUUGAGAACUUAUGUUAUGUAUUAAGUCGUGUUGAGAAAUUUAUGCCCCCUUAAUAUAAGAACUGAUUUAUGAUCAAUGCUAAGAUGCUAUGUUUGAUUCUAGCUUCUGCAUUUGAUGUUUAUGUUGAUUCUCUUUCGAGAUAAAUGUAUGAAAAUUUUGGGAUGGAUAAGAGCGAUGAUAUGGUUUAGUCGUAGUUUUAAAUAGAAAAAAAAAAUUAUUAUCCCAGAAUUGUCCUGAGUUUUAUUGCACUCGAAAAAAUGGAGUGUUACAGAAAAUGUGUGCAAAUUAAAGAAAUCCUUAUAUGGAUUAAAGUAAUCUCCAA